AGAUCGAACUGUAGAGUUUGAUCCUGGCUCAGAUUGAACGCUGGCGGCAUGCCUUACACAUGCAAGUCGAACGGUAACAGGUCUUCGGAUGCUGACGAGUGGCGAACGGGUGAGUAAUACAUCGGAACGUGCCCGAUCGUGGGGGAUAACGGAGCGAAAGCUUUGCUAAUACCGCAUACGAUCUACGGAUGAAAGCAGGGGACCGCAAGGCCUUGCGCGGACGGAGCGGCCGAUGGCAGAUUAGGUAGUUGGUGGGAUAAAAGCUUACCAUCUGUAGCUGGUCUGAGAGGACGACCAGCCACACUGGGACUGAGACACGGCCCAGACUCCUACGGGAGGCAGCAGUGGGGAAUUUUGGACAAUGGGCGAAAGCCUGAUCCAGCCAUGCCGCGUGCAGGAUGAAGGCCUUCGGGUUGUAAACUGCUUUUGUACGGAACGAAAAGACUCCUUCUAAUAAAGGGGGUCCAUGACGGUACCGUAAGAAUAAGCACCGGCUAACUACGUGCCAGCAGCCGCGGUAAUACGUAGGGUGCAAGCGUUAAUCGGAAUUACUGGGCGUAAAGCGUGCGCAGGCGGUUAUAUAAGACAGAUGUGAAAUCCCCGGGCUCAACCUGGGAACUGCAUUUGUGACUGUAUAGCUAGAGUACGGCAGAGGGGGAUGGAAUUCCGCGUGUAGCAGUGAAAUGCGUAGAUAUGCGGAGGAACACCGAUGGCGAAGGCAAUCCCCUGGGCCUG
This 735-nucleotide ribosomal RNA is filed under the name Acidovorax sp. 28-64-14. RNAcentral's name for it is "bacterial SSU rRNA". It matches the Rfam family "Bacterial small subunit ribosomal RNA", at positions 1 to 737 of the family's 1533-position model. The record is from RNAcentral. Lineage: Bacteria; Pseudomonadati; Pseudomonadota; Betaproteobacteria; Burkholderiales; Comamonadaceae.